UGCAGUCGAGCGGACAGAAGGGAGCUUGCUCCCGGAUGUUAGCGGCGGACGGGUGAGUAACACGUGGGUAACCUGCCUGUAAGACUGGGAUAACUCCGGGAAACCGGAGCUAAUACCGGAUAGUUCCUUGAACCGCAUGGUUCAAGGAUGAAAGACGGUUUCGGCUGUCACUUACAGAUGGACCCGCGGCGCAUUAGCUAGUUGGUGGGGUAAUGGCUCACCAAGGCGACGAUGCGUAGCCGACCUGAGAGGGUGAUCGGCCACACUGGGACUGAGACACGGCCCAGACUCCUACGGGAGGCAGCAGUAGGGAAUCUUCCGCAAUGGACGAAAGUCUGACGGAGCAACGCCGCGUGAGUGAUGAAGGUUUUCGGAUCGUAAAGCUCUGUUGUUAGGGAAGAACAAGUGCGAGAGUAACUGCUCGCACCUUGACGGUACCUAACCAGAAAGCCACGGCUAACUACGUGCCAGCAGCCGCGGUAAUACGUAGGUGGCAAGCGUUGUCCGGAAUUAUUGGGCGUAAAGGGCUCGCAGGCGGUUUCUUAAGUCUGAUGUGAAAGCCCCCGGCUCAACCGGGGAGGGUCAUUGGAAACUGGGAAACUUGAGUGCAGAAGAGGAGAGUGGAAUUCCACGUGUAGCGGUGAAAUGCGUAGAGAUGUGGAGGAACACCAGUGGCGAAGGCGACUCUCUGGUCUGUAACUGACGCUGAGGAGCGAAAGCGUGGGGAGCGAACAGGAUUAGAUACCCUGGUAGUCCACGCCGUAAACGAUGAGUGCUAAGUGUUAGGGGGGUUUCCGCCCCUUAGUGCUGCAGCUAACGCAUUAAGCACUCCGCCUGGGGGAGUACGGUCGCAAGACUGAAACUCAAAGGAAUUGACGGGGGGCCCGCACAAGCGGUGGAGCAUGGUGGUUUAAUUCGAAGCAACGCGAAGAACCUUACCAGGUCUUGACAUCCUCUGACAACCCUAGAAGAUAGGGCUUUCCCUUCGGGGACAGAGUGACAGGUGGUGCAUGGUUGUCGUCAGCUCGUGUCGUGAGAUGUUGGGUUAAGUCCCGCAACGAGCGCAACCCUUGAUCUUAGUUGCCAGCAUUCAGUUGGGCACUCUAAGGUGACUGCCGGUGACAAACCGGAGGAAGGUGGGGAUGACGUCAAAUCAUCAUGCCCCUUAUGACCUGGGCUACACACGUGCUACAAUGGACAGAACAAAGGGCUGCAAGACCGCAAGGUUUAGCCAAUCCCAUAAAUCUGUUCUCAGUUCGGAUCGCAGUCUGCAACUCGACUGCGUGAAGCUGGAAUCGCUAGUAAUCGCGGAUCAGCAUGCCGCGGUGAAUACGUUCCCGGGCCUUGUACACACCGCCCGUCACACCACGAGAGUUUGCAACACCCGAAGUCGGUGAGGUAACCUUUAUGGAGCCAGCC
This 1419-nucleotide ribosomal RNA is filed under the name Bacillus sp. (in: firmicutes). Its description in RNAcentral is "bacterial SSU rRNA". It matches the Rfam family "Bacterial small subunit ribosomal RNA". The record is from RNAcentral. Lineage: Bacteria; Bacillati; Bacillota; Bacilli; Caryophanales; Bacillaceae.